AGGCAGCAGUGGGGAAUAUUGGACAAUGGGGGCAACCCUGAUCCAGCAAUACCGCGUGUGUGAAGAAGGCCUGCGGGUUGUAAAGCACUUUUAGUAGGGAAGAUAAUGACGUUACCUACAGAAAAAGCACCGGCUAACUCCCGUGCCAGCAGCCGCGGUAAUACGGAGGGUGCAAGCGUUAAUCGGAAUUACUGGGCGUAAAGCGUGCGUAGGCGGCUCUUUAAGUCAGAUGUGAAAUCCCCCGGGCUCAACCUGGGAACUGCAUCUGAUACUGGGGAGCUAGAAUGUGGGAGAGGGAAGUGGAAUUUCCGGUGUAGCGGUGAAAUGCAUAGAGAUCGGAAGGAACAUCAGUGGCGAAGGCGACUUCCUGGACCAACAUUGACGCUGAGGCACGAAAGCGUGGGUAGCAAACAGGAUUAGAUACCCUGGUAGUCCACGCCGUAAACGAUGUCAACUAGCCGUCGGCUCCAACUAAGGGGUCGGUGGUGCAGCUAACGCAUUAAGUUGACCGCCUGGGGAGUACGCGCGCAAGCGUAAAACUCAAAUGAAUUGACGGGGGC
RNAcentral lists this ribosomal RNA (560 nucleotides) under uncultured Thiothrix sp. RNAcentral describes it as "bacterial SSU rRNA". It matches the Rfam family "Bacterial small subunit ribosomal RNA", at positions 346 to 920 of the family's 1533-position model. Lineage: Bacteria; Pseudomonadati; Pseudomonadota; Gammaproteobacteria; Thiotrichales; Thiotrichaceae. The record is from RNAcentral.